UAGGGAAUCUUCGGCAAUGGACGAAAGUCUGACCGAGCAACGCCGCGUGAGUGAAGAAGGUUUUCGGAUCGUAAAACUCUGUUGUUAGAGAAGAACAAGGACGUUAGUAACUGAACGUCCCCUGACGGUAUCUAACCAGAAAGCCACGGCUAACUACGUGCCAGCAGCCGCGGUAAUACGUAGGUGGCAAGCGUUGUCCGGAUUUAUUGGGCGUAAAGCGAGCGCAGGCGGUGUCUUAAGUCUGAUGUGAAAGCCCCCGGCUCAACCGGGGAGGGUCAUUGGAAACUGGGAGACUUGAGUGCAGAAGAGGAGAGUGGAAUUCCAUGUGUAGCGGUGAAAUGCGUAGAUAUAUGGAAGAACACCAGUGGCGAAGGCGGCUCUCUGGUCUGUAACUGACGCUGAGGCUCGAAAGCGUGGGGAGCAAACAGG
Molecule: ribosomal RNA, 429 nt
Filed under: Gemmatimonadota bacterium
Lineage: Bacteria; Pseudomonadati; Gemmatimonadota
Description: Gemmatimonadetes bacterium partial 16S ribosomal RNA
Rfam family: Bacterial small subunit ribosomal RNA
Source: RNAcentral